This 76-nucleotide ribosomal RNA is filed under the name Meriones unguiculatus (Mongolian gerbil). The record is from RNAcentral. Lineage: Eukaryota; Metazoa; Chordata; Mammalia; Rodentia; Muridae.
AUCUACGGCCAUAUCACCCUGAACGCACCUGAUCUCGUCUGAUCUCAGAAGCUAAAAAGACAAAACCCCUGAGAUG